Musa acuminata AAA Group (dessert banana) is the source of this 1968-nucleotide long non-coding RNA. RefSeq lists it as uncharacterized. The record is from RefSeq and is a predicted model, not a curated record. NCBI's taxonomy places the organism in Eukaryota, Viridiplantae, Streptophyta, Magnoliopsida, Zingiberales, Musaceae. The transcript is spliced from 6 exons.
AAUGGUGUUCUUGUCCAAGAAGAAUUUGUUGUAGUCGACUAGCAAAAUUUAAUUUGAAUAAAAUAAAAAAUAAAAAAAUAAAAAUCAAUCAUUUUGCCUAUCGAUUUAGUGUUAAUAUCAUGUGCAACGUUUUCUAUCAGUAUAAUAAAUGAUGUUAACAAAAUAAAAUAAAUUAUUUUACUUUCAUAAAUCCCCGUCUAAAUGUCUGAAGUACAUAUAUGGCAGUCUUAAAAAGGUCAAUGAUCCCACCCGAUGUCAUAAUUACGAAUCCCCUCUCCAUCUCAGACGAUAAAUUGGCCCUCCCCCAAGAUAUCAAGCAAUUCCCGCGAUCGAGCGCUUCUCCUCUUCAGCCAUUUUUAGCGUUCUGGACUUCCCCUAGGGUUUCCUUCUUCCACCCUCCUCUUCAGAAGGAUGAUCUAGAUCCAGGAGCACUUCGAGAAUUUUUAUCAGGGUAUUUUUGAGGAGCUAAGCAAGUUCAGAAAAAUUGAAAGCCUAAAUGUUUGUGACAAUCUGGCUGAUCAUUUGGUUGGUAAUGUAUAUGCUAAAUUCAGGGAUGAGGAUGAUGCUGCAAAUAUACUAGUCAACCUGAAAGGAAGAUAUUAUGAUGGUGGUUUAAUAUUUAGGACAUCCUAUUAUUGUUGAUUUCUCCCCCAUUAUGGAUUUCCGUGAAGCUACAUGUAGGCAACACAAGGAUAAUGCGUGUAACUGAGGUGGAUUCUGCAAUUUUAUUCACUUAAAACAAAUUAGCUGGGAGUUGAGGCAGAAAUUAUUUGAAAGAUAUAGAAGGCAGAAAAGAAGCCGAAGUCCUUAUGGCUGCCACAACCAUGGAGACUAUCACCAAGGUGGUGGCAGCCGCCACAGUGAAAGGGAUCAGUACUAUGAAGGGCAAGGCUGAGGGCCUCGAACCAUGUUCACAAGAGGAACCACAACAGAAGCCCUGUCACAGAAGGAAGUGCCGAGUGGAGGGCUAGAAUUGAACAGUGGAACAGGGAAAGGGAGCAGGCAGAUGAUGCUAGGAAGAACACUGAGUCCAUCCAGAGUGGUCGGCCGCAUCAUGACCAGCAUCAGCAGGAUAAAGAUGAAGAGGGUCAUCAACCUCUAUGGUUUUCUGGUGGUGUACAGGUCCAAAGUCCUGUUCAGUGGAAUAUAAAACCUAAUUUCUUCGGAGAAAUUGAAAACACAGACUGCUGUUUGCCUGCAUCAUUUGCUUUUAAUUUGAUUAAACAUUGCUUUUUAGUUAUUUUGCAAUUACAGGGAAUAAUCAGGAUCAUAUUCAUCAUUUAUGCAUAUUCUACAUAUGUUUCCUGUUUAGCCAUACUUAGGAUCAUAUUCAUCAUUCUAUUUUAGCAGCAUUUGUUAUGAUCCAAACAAGGACCUACAGCCCUGUAUAAAGUAAAUGCAUGAUCAAAAACCAACUUCAAGUGUCGAGGUAAGAAAACGAGUUCGCAUAAAUAUUUGGCUUCUAGUUUUUUUUUUUUGACACAAAAAGAAAUCAUCCUCAAGCAGGACACUGGAAUAAUCAAUGGACAUGCAUGUUUAUGGAAACUUCUGCCACUUUGACUGGUUUCUCUUUACAUUUCAGAUUCACUCAGCUUAUCUUUUUUCACAAGUUUUGCAGGUCCAGGUAUUCCUGUGCAUUCUGCGCAUCAAUCUAGUCUCUUUGUUGUUUAUAUGAACUCUAUUUAUAGGACAGGGGCCUACCCGAUCGGUGAACUGCAUCAGUGGAGGGGCGUGUGAAGGGAGCUCCUCAGUUUCAGUUGGAGAUGUUCUUUGUUUCUUUUCCAGAAUGCAGGGAGUCGCUUUUUGACUUUUGUUGCAGGAGAAUGAUUUCUGGUUUUAAUCUGAUGUUAAAACUAGAGGUACUUGCUAUACUUUGUCUAGGGCUUGGUUUCUUUCGAGUAUUAAAUGUGUUGGACAAAGUUUCAUAUACCAUCUAGAAACAGUUAAUAGAAAUAUUUUGGUGCGUCA